This 253-nucleotide ribosomal RNA is filed under the name uncultured bacterium. RNAcentral describes it as "partial 16S ribosomal RNA". It matches the Rfam family "Archaeal small subunit ribosomal RNA", at positions 474 to 727 of the family's 1478-position model. The record is from RNAcentral.
UACCAGCACCCCGAGUGGUCGGGACGAUUAUUGGGCCUAAAGCAUCCGUAGCCGGUCCUGCAAGUCUUUCGUUAAAUCCAGCUGCUCAACAGAUGGGCUGCGGGAGAUACUACAGGGCUAGGAGGCGGGAGAGGCAAGCGGUACUUUAUGGGUAGGGGUAAAAUCCGCUGAUCCAUAGAAGACCACCAGUGGCGAAGGCGGCUUGCCAGAACGCGCUCGACGGUGAGGGAUGAAAGCUGGGGGAGCAAACCGG